GAUGAACGCUGGCGGCGUGCCUAAUACAUGCAAGUCGAGCGCACGGACGAGAAACUUGUUCCUCUUGGGUUAGCGGCGGACGGGUGAGUAACGCGUGGAUAACCUGCCUAUAAGCCUGGGAUAACUUCGGGAAACGAGUGCUAAUACCGCAUAAUAUCUUUAACCACAUGGUUCAAGAGUGAAAGACGCACUUGCAGUACCUAAUAGAUGUAUCCCGGCUUCUUUACUAGGUUGGGAAGUAAACGCCCAACCAAGGGAACGAUGCAUAGCCGGCCUGAGAGGGUGACCGGCCACACUGGAACUGAGACACGGUCCAGACUCCUACGGGAGGAAGCAGUAGGGAAUCUUGGGAAAUGGGCGAAGGCCUGACGGAGCAACGCGGGGGGAGUGAUGAAGGUCUUCGGAUCGUAAAACUCUGUUAUUAGGGAAGAACAUAUGUGUAAUUAAAUGUGCACAUCGUGACGGUACCUAAUCAGAAAGCCACGGCUAACUACGUG
RNAcentral lists this ribosomal RNA (497 nucleotides) under uncultured bacterium. Its description in RNAcentral is "partial 16S ribosomal RNA". It matches the Rfam family "Bacterial small subunit ribosomal RNA", at positions 28 to 507 of the family's 1533-position model. The record is from RNAcentral.